CCUACGGGUGGCAGCAGUGGGGAAUAUUGGGCAAUGGGCGCAAGCCUGACCCAGCAAUGCCGCGUGAAGGAAGAAGGCUUUCGGGUUGUAAACUUCCUUGACGGGGGAAGAGAAGAAGACGGUAUCCUGCAAACAAGCCACGGCUAACUACGUGACAGCAGCCGUGGUAAUACGUCGGUGGCAAGCGUUGUCCGGAUUUACUGGGUGUAAAGGGCGUGUAGCCGGGAAGGCAAGUCAGAUGUGAAAUCUGGAGGCUCAACCUCCGAAUUGCAUUUGAAACUGUUUUUCUUGAGUACUGGAGGGGCAGACGGAAUUCCUUGUGUAGCGGUGAAAUGCGUAGAUAUAAGGAGGAACACCAGUGGCGAAGGCGGUCUGCUGGACAGCAACUGACGGUGAGGCGCGAAAGCGUGGGGAGCAAACAGGAUUAGAUACCCCAGUAGUC
This 442-nucleotide ribosomal RNA is filed under the name uncultured bacterium. Its description in RNAcentral is "partial 16S ribosomal RNA". It matches the Rfam family "Bacterial small subunit ribosomal RNA", at positions 338 to 795 of the family's 1533-position model. The record is from RNAcentral.